RNAcentral lists this microRNA precursor (67 nucleotides) under Bombyx mori (domestic silkworm). RNAcentral describes it as "mir-2774 microRNA precursor family". It matches the Rfam family "mir-2774 microRNA precursor family". Lineage: Eukaryota; Metazoa; Arthropoda; Insecta; Lepidoptera; Bombycidae. The record is from Rfam by way of RNAcentral.
ACAACAUCUGGACCGUUGUUCUAGCGAGCAAUUUCACCCGCUCGGUGGAAGAUCAAUCCUUUGUCGU